RNAcentral lists this ribosomal RNA (490 nucleotides) under uncultured bacterium. Its description in RNAcentral is "partial 16S ribosomal RNA". It matches the Rfam family "Bacterial small subunit ribosomal RNA", at positions 28 to 507 of the family's 1533-position model. The record is from RNAcentral.
GAUGAACGCUAGCUACAGGCUUAACACAUGCAAGUCGAGGGGCAACAUCGUCUUAGCUUGCUAAGGCCGAUGGCGACCGGCGCACGGGUGAGUAACACGUAUCCAACCUGCCGUUGACUCAUGGACAGCCUUCUGAAAGUAAGACUAAUACAAGAUGGCAUCAUCAGUGCGCAUGUUCACAUGAUUAGAGGUAUUCCGGUAGACGAGGGGGAUGCCAUCGAUUAGAUAGGAGGCGGGGUUACGGACCACCUAGUCUUCGAUUGAUAGGGGUUCUGAGAGGAAGGUCCCCCACAUUGGAACUGAGACACGGGCCAAACUCCUACGGGAGGCAGCAGUGAGGAAUAUUGGUCAAUGGGCGAGAGCCUGAACCAGCCAAGUAGCGUGAAGGAUGACUGCCCUAUGGGUUGUAAACUUCUUUUAUAAAGGCAUAAAGUCGGGUAUGGAUACCCGUUUGCAGGUACUGUAUGAAUAAGGACCGGCUAACUCCGUG